RNAcentral lists this ribosomal RNA (400 nucleotides) under uncultured bacterium. RNAcentral's name for it is "bacterial SSU rRNA". It matches the Rfam family "Bacterial small subunit ribosomal RNA", at positions 356 to 773 of the family's 1533-position model. The record is from RNAcentral.
GGGGAAUAUUGGACAAUGGGGGAAACCCUGAUCCAGCAAUGCCGCGUGAGUGAUGAAGGCCUUCGGGUUGUAAAGCUCUUUUGUCAGGGACGAUGAUGACGGUACCUGACGAAUAAGCUCCGGCUAACUUCGUGCCAGCAGCCGCGGUAAUACGAGGGGAGCUAGCGUUGUUCGGAAUUACUGGGCGUAAAGGGCGUGUAGGCGGUACCAUAAGUCAGAUGUGAAAGCCCUAGGCUUAACCUAGGAGGUGCAUUUGAUACUGUGGAACUAGAGAUCGAGAGAGGAAAGUGGAAUUACGAGUGUAGAGGUGAAAUUCGUAGAUAUUCGUAAGAACACCAGUGGCGAAGGCGACUUUCUGGCUCGAUACUGACGCUAAGGCGCGAAAGCGUGGGGAGCAAAC